GUGGGCUGCAAUCAUCUCGUUAUUAAUUCUGACAACAUGGAAGUCAUUGACACAAUGAACAAUGGAGGACAUUCUGCAGGAGGAGCGGCGACAGUUUUCGAUGAUUGCUAUUUUAUGGCUUGUGAUUUUCCUCUUACUAGUUUUGAACAUUAUAAUAGGGAAGAGAAUAAAGUAGCUCAUGAGCUUGCUAGAUUAGCAAAAAGUUUGGUCACAAAGAAUUGGUUCGAGGAGCCUAUGGGAAAUAGUCUACCCGUUCUUUUAGACGAUGUAACCAUUGUUUCUAAUUAA
Molecule: ribosomal RNA, 288 nt
Filed under: Triticum aestivum (bread wheat)
Lineage: Eukaryota; Viridiplantae; Streptophyta; Magnoliopsida; Poales; Poaceae
Description: partial small subunit ribosomal RNA
Source: RNAcentral